UCUCGUUCACAUAGAGAGAGUGUAAGUCUUAACACAAUGUUUGCAGAUGUGAACGUGGAGGGAUCUCUAUAGAGAGUGAGUAGUGUCGCUCUCUGCUGUCUCUCCCGAGCAAGUGCACGUUGGUGACUUUCAUCCAUUACCCUGGUGCAACCUUUGGCCUCUUGUUGGCUUCGGCUGACAGAGGAUUUUACACAUUAACUCGAAUGUAAUGAAAACUACUGUCGUGCGCAAGCACUAAUGUACAACUUUCAACAACGGAUCUCUUGGCUCUCGCAUCGAUGAAGAACGCAGCGAAAUGCGAUAAGUAAUGUGAAUUGCAGAAUUCAGUGAAUCAUCGAAUCUUUGACCGCACCUUGCACCCUUUGGUAUUCCGAAGGGUAUGCUCGUUGGAGUGUCAUUGUACUCUCACACUCUCUAAUGCUUGCAGUAGGAGCGGUGGACUUGGGUGUUGCUGCUUCACGGUGGCUCACCUGAAAUGCAUUAGUGCACCUCCUGGUUGGACAUAGUACGGCGUGAUAAGUGUCUUCGCCGGCGCCUCGAAAGAGGGUGGCCGAUUGGGAGCUCUGGGCUUCUAACUGUCUUAGGACACUCUCUGACAACUGACCUCAUCUC
This 612-nucleotide ribosomal RNA is filed under the name uncultured Sebacina. Its description in RNAcentral is "eukaryotic LSU rRNA". The stretch from base 244 to 397 matches the Rfam family "5.8S ribosomal RNA". Lineage: Eukaryota; Fungi; Basidiomycota; Agaricomycetes; Sebacinales; Sebacinaceae. The record is from RNAcentral.